AUUCCAGCUCCAGUAUCUUCUAUUCCUGUUUUUUUUUUUCCCCCUCUCUUCUUCUUCUUUCUUGGCGGGCCGACCGGUCUGCCGAUGGGUAUGCACUGGCCGGCGCGUCCUUCCACCCGGAGACCGCGCCUACUCUUAACUGAGCGGGCGCGGGAGACGGGUCUUUUACUUUGAAAAAAUCAGAGUGUUUCAAGCAGGCAGUCGCUCUUGCAUGGAUUAGCAUGGGAUAAUGAAAUAGGACUCUGGUGCUAUUUUGUUGGUUUCGAACACCGGAGUAAUGAUUAACAGGGACAGUCAGGGGCACUCGUAUUCCGCCGAGAGAGGUGAAAUUCUCAGACCAGCGGAAGACGAACCACUGCGAAAGCAUUUGCCAGGGAUGUUUUCAUUG
Molecule: ribosomal RNA, 388 nt
Filed under: Gephyrocapsa cf. muellerae
Lineage: Eukaryota; Haptophyta; Isochrysidales; Noelaerhabdaceae
Description: partial small subunit ribosomal RNA
Rfam family: Eukaryotic small subunit ribosomal RNA (bases 152-387)
Source: RNAcentral